GGCCCGGCGGGCGGCUGGUUUAUGCCGUCUGUUCGCUGCUGCCGGACGAGGGCGAGGUGCAGGUCGCCGCCGCCCUGGCCC
RNAcentral lists this transfer RNA (81 nucleotides) under Paracoccus aerius. Its description in RNAcentral is "tRNA-Ser". Lineage: Bacteria; Pseudomonadati; Pseudomonadota; Alphaproteobacteria; Rhodobacterales; Paracoccaceae. The record is from RNAcentral.